GUCCUUUAGAAUUUAAUUUAAGGUCUAGCCUGCCCACUGAAAUUAAUUUUAAAUGGCCGCAGUAAUUUGACUGUGCAAAGGUAGCAUAAUCAUUAGUUUUUUAAUUGAAAGCUUGUAUGAAAGGUUGGACGAGGUAAAAUCUGUCUCUAAUUAAUUUAAUUUAGAAUUUAACUUUUAAGUCAAAAGGCUUAAAUAUAAUUAAAAGACGAGAAGACCCUAUAGAUCUUUAUAGUUUAUUUAUUAAAUUUAAUUAAGAAUUUUUUAAACUUUAUUAAUUUAAUUAUUUUAUUGGGGUAAUAUAAAGAUUAAAUUAAUUCUUUUUUUUUAUUAACAUUAAUUUAUGAUUUUAUGAUCCAAUUUUAUUGGUUAUAAGAUUAAGUUACCUUAGGGAUAACAGCGUUAUUUUUUUAGAGAGUUCUUAUCGAUAAAAAAGUUUACGACCUCGAUGUUGGAUUAAAGAUUAUUUCAGGUGUAGAAGUUUGAAAAUUUUGGUCUGUUCGACCAUUAAAUCUUUACAUGAUCUGAGUUCAGACCGGUGUAAGCCAGGUCGGUUUCUAUCUUUAUUAAAUUAAAAUAUUUUAGUACGAAAGGACCAAUUAUUUGAUAUAAAAUAUUUAAAUUUUGAUUAUUAUUAA
This 635-nucleotide ribosomal RNA is filed under the name Nebria sajanica. RNAcentral describes it as "partial large subunit ribosomal RNA". The stretch from base 390 to 549 matches the Rfam family "Bacterial large subunit ribosomal RNA", at positions 2473 to 2632 of the family's 2925-position model. Lineage: Eukaryota; Metazoa; Arthropoda; Insecta; Coleoptera; Carabidae. The record is from RNAcentral.